AUAUUGGCCGGAGACCGAUAGCGCACAAGUAGAGUGAUCGAAAGAUGAAAAGCACUUUGAAAAGAGAGUUAAAAAGCACGUGAGAUUGUUGAAAGGGAAGCGCUUGCGACCAGACUCGCUCGCGGGGUUCAGCCGGCAUUCGUGCCGGUGUACUUCCCCGCGGGCGGGCCAGCGUCGGUUUGGGCGGUCGGUCAAAGGCCCUCGGAAGGUAACGCCCCCUCGGGGGCGUCUUAUAGCCGAGGGUGCAAUGCGACCUGCCUGGACCGAGGAACGCGCUUUGGCUCGGACGCUGGCAUAAUGGUCGUAAGCGACCCGUCUUGAAACACGGACC
RNAcentral lists this ribosomal RNA (331 nucleotides) under uncultured fungus. Its description in RNAcentral is "LSU rRNA". It matches the Rfam family "Eukaryotic large subunit ribosomal RNA", at positions 320 to 667 of the family's 3401-position model. The record is from RNAcentral. Lineage: Eukaryota; Fungi.